AUUGUUAGUAUUUUUCAUAACAGAGAAAUCCUUAAGGGCCAGUGGCCCAGUGGCUAAUGGUUUUUUGUGGAUGAUGGGUUCACUCCACUACUCUUAUGAAAUAUUUCGUUAUUUUGUUAUCUUUCUUGUUCUUUGUUUCCCAUGCCUUGUUUGUAAAUGUGAAGCAUCUAAAAUUAAGCAGCAUUGUUAUUCUUUGUUCAACUUGACGUGUUAUUCCUGAUAAA
RNAcentral lists this unclassified non-coding RNA (224 nucleotides) under Hevea brasiliensis (rubber tree). Lineage: Eukaryota; Viridiplantae; Streptophyta; Magnoliopsida; Malpighiales; Euphorbiaceae. The record is from RNAcentral.